This 1845-nucleotide ribosomal RNA is filed under the name Triticum aestivum (bread wheat). Its description in RNAcentral is "partial small subunit ribosomal RNA". The record is from RNAcentral. Lineage: Eukaryota; Viridiplantae; Streptophyta; Magnoliopsida; Poales; Poaceae.
AUGCCGGAAGCACCGAGUGCCCAGCCAGCUCCCGCCUCCGGCUACGCCCCCGGGGCGCACCGCGAGGCGCUCGACUUCAUCGAGCACGUCACGGCGAACGCCGGGAAGGUGCAGCAGCGCGUACUCGCCGAGAUCCUUGCGCAGAACGAGACGGCCGAGUACCUGCGCCGGUACGGCGUCUCCUCCAGCAGCAGCCCCCUCGAUCCCGUAGACGCCUUCCGCCGCUGCGUCCCGCUCGUGACCUACGAGGACCUCCAGCCUGACAUACUCCGCAUCGCCAACGGUGACUCCUCGCCGAUCCUCUCCGGCAAGCCCAUCUCCGAGUUCCUCACAAGCUCCGGCACUUCCGGAGGGGAAAGGAAGCUCAUGCCGACCAUCGCCGACGAGCUUGACAGGAGGUCGCUGCUGUACAGUCUACUGAUGCCGGUGAUGAGCCAGUCGCUGCCCGGGCUGGACAAAGGCAAGGCGAUGUACCUGCUCUUCGUGAAGGCCGAGUCGCGGACGCCAGGAGGGCUGGCCGCGCGGCCGGUGUUGACAAGUUACUACCGGAGCCGGCAGUUCCUCGACAGGCCGCACGACCCGUACACGGCGUACACGAGCCCCAACGAGGCCAUCUUGUGCGUGGACUCCUACCAGAGCAUGUACGCCCAGCUGCUCUGCGGCCUCGUGCACCGCACCGACGUGCUGCGCGUGGGCGCGGUGUUCGCGUCGGGCUUCCUCCGCGCAAUACGCUUCCUUGAGAAGCACUGGCCUCGCCUGUGCCACGACAUCCGCACCGGCGAGCUCGACCCGGAGAUCACCGACCGCUCGGUGCGCGACGCCGUCGGGAGGUUGCUCCACGCCAACCCAGCCCUCGCCAGCGAGAUCGAGGCCGAGUGUUCGAAGCCGUCGUGGGAGGGCAUCAUCCGACGCCUGUGGCCCCGCACCAAGUACAUCGACGUGAUCGUGACCGGCGCCAUGUCGCAGUACAUCCCGACGCUCGAGUUCUACGGCGGUGGCCUGCCGCUCAUCUGCACCAUGUACGCUUCUUCGGAGUGUUACUUCGGCCUGAACCUCAACCCCAUGUGCAAGCCCGGCGAGGUCGCGUACACCCUCAUCCCCACCAUGUGCCACUUCGAGUUCCUCCCCGUCCAUUGCAGCAACGCCAAUGCCGAGCCGAGCCACCGCGACCUCGUCGAUCUGGUCGACGUGAAGCUCGGUCACGAUUACGAACUCGUGGUAACCACCUUCUCAGGUUUGUGCCGGUAUCGUGUGGGCGACGUACUGAGGGUAGCAGGGUUCAAGAACGAGGCGCCGAUGUUCAGCUUCGUGCGACGGCGGAACGUGGCGCUGAGCAUCGACUCGGACAAGACGGACGAGACGGAGCUGCACACGGCGGUGAGCAGCGCGGUGCAGCACCUGGCGCCGUUCGGCGCAUCGCUGGUGGAGUACACCAGCUACGCCGAUACCGCCGCCAUCCCAGGCCACUACGUGCUGUUCUGGGAGCUGCGCGAGGGCAGCACGGCGGUGCCGGCGUCCGUGUUCGAGGAGUGCUGCCUGUCCGUGGAGGAGGCCCUGAACAGCGUGUACCGGCAGUGCCGCGCCUGCGACAGGUCCAUCGGCCCCCUCGAGAUCCGCGUCGUGUCCGAGGGCACCUUCGAGAAGCUCAUGGACUACGCGCUCAGCCAGGGCGCGUCCAUCAACCAGUACAAGGCGCCGCGCUGCGUGCGCCCCGGGCCGGUCGUCGAGCUCCUGGACGCGAGGGUGCAGGCCAGCUACUUCAGCCCCAAGUGCCCAAAAUGGAGCCCCGGGAACAAGCAAUGGAACACCUCCUCCAAGGAGCUGCUGAGCAUCGGAGACGCCUAG